This is a small nuclear RNA of Acomys russatus (golden spiny mouse), 103 nucleotides long. Lineage: Eukaryota; Metazoa; Chordata; Mammalia; Rodentia; Muridae. The record is from RefSeq and is a predicted model, not a curated record.
GUGCUCAAUUUGGCAGCAUAUAUACUAAAAUUAAAGUAAUACAGAGAAGAUUAGCAUGGCCCCUGGGUAAGUAUGACAGAUUUGUGAAGUGUUCCAUAAUAAA